This 460-nucleotide ribosomal RNA is filed under the name uncultured bacterium. RNAcentral's name for it is "partial 16S ribosomal RNA". It matches the Rfam family "Bacterial small subunit ribosomal RNA", at positions 338 to 795 of the family's 1533-position model. The record is from RNAcentral.
CCUACGGGAGGCAGCAGUGAGGAAUAUUGGUCAAUGGACGAGAGCCUGAACCAGCCAAGCAGCGUGAAGGAUGACUGCCCUAUGGGUGGUAAACCUCUUUUACAAAGGAAUAAAACGAGGCAUGUGUGCCCUCCUGCAUGUACUUUACGAAUAAGGAACGGCUAAUUCCGUGCCAGCAGCCGCGGUAAUACGGAGGGCCCGAGCGUUAUGCGGAUUGAUUGGGCUUAAAGGGAGCGUAGGUGGGUUGUUCAGUCAGCUGUGAAAGUUCGCGGCUCAACCGUGGAAUUGCAAUUGAUACUGGCAGUCUUGAGUGCAGGUGAGGUCGGCGGAAUUCGUGGUGUAGCGGUGAAAUGCAUAGAUAUCACGAGGAACCCCGAUUGCGAAGGCAGCUUACUGAACUGAGACUGACGUUGAGGCUCGAAGGUGUGGGUAUCAAACAGGAUUAGAUACCCCUGUAGUC